This 301-nucleotide ribosomal RNA is filed under the name uncultured bacterium. RNAcentral's name for it is "partial 16S ribosomal RNA". It matches the Rfam family "Bacterial small subunit ribosomal RNA", at positions 509 to 807 of the family's 1533-position model. The record is from RNAcentral.
CAGUAGCCACGGUAAUACGAAGGGUGCAAGCGUUAAUCGGAAUUACUGGGCGUAAAGCGUGCGUAGGCGGUUUGUUAAGUCUGCUGUGAAAUCCCCGGGCUCAACCUGGGAAUGGCAGUGGAUACUGGCAAGCUAGAGUGUGUCAGAGGAUGGUGGAAUUCCCGGUGUAGCGGUGAAAUGCGUAGAGAUCGGGAGGAACAUCUGUGGCGAAGGCGACUAUCUGGGCCAACACUGACACUGAGGCACGAAAGCGUGGGGAGCAAACAGGAUUAGAUACCCCCGUAGUCCCUGUCUCUUAUAC